Molecule: ribosomal RNA, 403 nt
Filed under: Bacillus licheniformis
Lineage: Bacteria; Bacillati; Bacillota; Bacilli; Caryophanales; Bacillaceae
Description: bacterial SSU rRNA
Rfam family: Bacterial small subunit ribosomal RNA (bases 6-361)
Source: RNAcentral
UCGUCCAUAAUACAUGCAAGUCGAGCGGACCGACGGGAGCUUGCUCCCUUAGGUCAGCCGGCGGACGGGUGAGUAACACGUGGGUAACCUGCCUGUAAGACUGGGAUAACUCCGGGAAACCGGGGCUAAUACCGGAUGCUUGAUUGAACCGCAUGGUUCAAUCAUAAAAGGUGGCUUUUAGCUACCACUUCCAGAUGGACCCGCGGCGCAUUAGCUAGUUGGUGAGCCAACACCUCACCAAGGCGACGAUGCGUAGCCGACCUGAGAGGGUGAUCGGCCACACUGGGACUGAGACACGGCCCAGACUCCUACGGGAGGCAGCAGUAGGGAAUCUUCCGCACUGGGCCGAAUUCUGACGCAGCACCCCCCCUCUUUCUCACUCUUCGUUCGAAAACUCAAUUUU